GGGUUAAUAGCUUAAUUGGUAAAGGGCUUCAUUGUCAUUGAAGUAGAUGUCGGAUCGAAGCCGGCUUAACCCG
RNAcentral lists this transfer RNA (73 nucleotides) under Spathularia flavida. Its description in RNAcentral is "tRNA-Asp". It matches the Rfam family "tRNA". From Rfam's summary of the family: Transfer RNA (tRNA) molecules are approximately 80 nucleotides in length. Their secondary structure includes four short double-helical elements and three loops (D, anti-codon, and T loops). The record is from RNAcentral. Lineage: Eukaryota; Fungi; Ascomycota; Leotiomycetes; Rhytismatales; Cudoniaceae.